UACGUAGGGACCAAGCGUUGUUCGGAUUUACUGGGCGUAAAGCGCGCGUAGGCGGCUUUGCAAGUCGGGUGUGAAAUCCCCAGGCUUAACCUGGGAACUGCAUUCGAGACUGCAUUGCUAGAGUAUGGGAGAGGGAAGUGGAAUUUCCGGUGUAGCGGUGAAAUGCGUAGAUAUCGGAAGGAACAUCAGUGGCGAAGGCGACUUCCUGGACCAAUACUGACGCUCAUGUGCGAAAGCGUGGGGAGCAAACAGG
Molecule: ribosomal RNA, 253 nt
Filed under: uncultured bacterium
Lineage: Bacteria
Description: partial 16S ribosomal RNA
Rfam family: Bacterial small subunit ribosomal RNA
Source: RNAcentral